Molecule: RNA transcript, 900 nt
Organism: Mandrillus leucophaeus (drill)
Lineage: Eukaryota; Metazoa; Chordata; Mammalia; Primates; Cercopithecidae
Gene name: E3 SUMO-protein ligase NSE2 pseudogene
Exons: 1
Source: RefSeq, a predicted model, not a curated record
AAAGUCAGCUUUAGGGUGCCACCAGACGCAGACAGCUUGGACUACCAGAAUCAAGCACUCUUUUGGAAGAGGGUAAUCUCCCUCCAAAAACUGAGAACGCUUACCUUCCUCAUAUAUUGAGUCCAGCUGUGCUUGGUGGCCCAGGUAAUAAUUUCAAGAUGCCAGGAUUUUCCAAUUCAAAUUCAGGUUCAACUGGUUUCAUCUCCUUCAGUGGUGUAGAGUCUGCUCUCUCCUCCUUGGAAAAACUUCCAAGCCUGUGUCACCUCUGGUAUGGACACAGCUUCUAGUGUUGCUUUGGAUCUUGUGGAAAGUCAGACUGAAGUGAGUAGUGAAUAUAGUAUGGACAAGGCGAUGGUUGAAUUUGCUACAAUGGAUCGGCAACUGAACCAUUAUGUAAAGGCUGUUCAAUCUACAAUAAAUCAUGUAAAAUAAGAACGUCCAGAAAAAAUACCAGAUUUAAAAUUAUUGGUGGAGAAGAAAUUUUUGGCUUUACAGAGCAAGAAUUCUGAUGUGGACUUUCAAAAUAAUGGAAAAUUGUUAGUGUUUAAACAACAGUUGAAAGAACUAAAGAAGCAAUAUGGCCUUCAAGCUGACAGAGAGGCUGACGGAACAGAAGGAGUGGAUGAAGAUAUGAUUGUGACCCAAAGUCAAACCAACUUCAUCUGCCCCAUUACACAGUUGGAAAUGAAGAAGCCAGUGAAAAAUAAAGUGUGUGGCCACACCUAUGAAGAGGAAGACAUUGUUUGCAUUAUUGAGUCCAAGCACAAGCAGAAGAAAAAGGCCUGUUGCCCUAAAAUUGGCUGUAGUCACAUAGGUGUAAGAAAGUCGAAUCUCAUCCAGGAUGAAGUACUUAGAAGGACGAUUGAGAACCAUAACAAGAAAAGACUUCAUUCCAAAUAG